AAACCUCAUUUUCGCAGCAAGUUUCAGCAUUGAGUCACCUUAGCAAAACGGAUGUAUGUCUCAAUCCAACCGUUGGAUCGUCGCGUGGUUUUGACACAACGUUCCUGACUCAUAGAGGUGUGUCUCCAAAUUAUGUUUGAAGGAUUUAUUUUGGAGAAAAGCUUAGAACUAUGGUGAAAGAGUUCAUAUUUGCCAAGGUACUCAAGUAUAACUGUGGAAGUUUGUAGAUUCAUCGUGUCUGGUUGGUGUGUCGCUCUGAUACGUAGCACUCGGGGGUUGUCUAUAUUGUUGUUUCUAUGUUGUUCAUGUUUUAGUUGUUGAGUUCCAAAUUGGAUAAUGAGAAGUACUAUGAUGUUUGAAGUUGUUUCCGAUUAAAUAAGAUGAUUUGUUUAUAAAUUCGAAUGUUAUGAUUCCGCUGCAUAUUAAAAUGAAGUUGGUUUGUCUAAGAGCUGUUAUAAGUUGUUUUGUGCUUCUCUGAGAUUAAAGUGCUAUGUAUCUGUUUAUGAGUUGUUUAUAGGAAGUAAAUGUGA
Molecule: long non-coding RNA, 530 nt
Organism: Vicia villosa (hairy vetch)
Lineage: Eukaryota; Viridiplantae; Streptophyta; Magnoliopsida; Fabales; Fabaceae
Exons: 3
Source: RefSeq, a predicted model, not a curated record